UAGGGAAUCUUCGGCAAUGGGGGGAACCCUGACCGAGCAACGCCGCGUGAGUGAAGAAGGUUUUCGGAUCGUAAAGCUCUGUUGUUAAGGAAGAACGAGUGUGAGAAUGGAAAGUUCAUACUGUGACGGUACUUAACCAGAAAGGGACGGCUAACUACGUGCCAGCAGCCGCGGUAAUACGUAGGUCCCGAGCGUUGUCCGGAUUUAUUGGGCGUAAAGCGAGCGCAGGUGGUUAGAUAAGUCUGAAGUUAAAGGCAGUGGCUCAACCAUUGUAGGCUUUGGAAACUGUUUAACUUGAGUGCAGAAGGGGAGAGUGGAAUUCCAUGUGUAGCGGUGAAAUGCGUAGAUAUAUGGAGGAACACCGGUGGCGAAAGCGGCUCUCUGGUCUGUAACUGACGCUGAGGUUCGAAAGCGUGGGUAGCAAACAGG
This 429-nucleotide ribosomal RNA is filed under the name Bacteroidota bacterium. Its description in RNAcentral is "Bacteroidetes bacterium partial 16S ribosomal RNA". It matches the Rfam family "Bacterial small subunit ribosomal RNA", at positions 355 to 776 of the family's 1533-position model. Lineage: Bacteria; Pseudomonadati; Bacteroidota. The record is from RNAcentral.